AGAGUUUGAUCAUGGCUCAGAAUGAACGCUGGCGGCGUGCCUAACACAUGCAAGUCGAGCGAGAAAGUCUCGUUCGGAGAUAAGUACAGCGGCGGACGGGUGAGUAACGCGUGAGAAUUUACCCUUUAGUGAAGAAUACCUCUGAGAAAUCAGGGUUAAUACUGCAUACGUCCCUACGGGGAGAAAGGUGGCCUCUUUGCUGCCGCUAAAGGAUAAGCUUGCGUACUAUUAGCUAGUUGGUGAGGUAAAGGCUCACCAAGGCGAUGAUGGUUAGCCGGGCCUGAGAGGGUGUACGGCCACACUGGAACUUAGACACGGUCCAGACUCCUACGGGAGGCAGCAGUGAGGAAUAUUGCGCAAUGGGCGAAAGCCUGACGCAGCGACGCCGCGUGGAGGAUGAAGGUCUUCGGAUUGUAAACUCCUGUUAAGUGGGAAGAAAGACCUAUUUCUAAUACAGAUAGGGGAUGACGGUACCAUUAGAGAAAGCACCGGCUAACUUCGUG
This 503-nucleotide ribosomal RNA is filed under the name uncultured bacterium. Its description in RNAcentral is "bacterial SSU rRNA". It matches the Rfam family "Bacterial small subunit ribosomal RNA", at positions 8 to 507 of the family's 1533-position model. The record is from RNAcentral.